RNAcentral lists this ribosomal RNA (399 nucleotides) under uncultured Prevotella sp. RNAcentral describes it as "bacterial SSU rRNA". It matches the Rfam family "Bacterial small subunit ribosomal RNA", at positions 354 to 747 of the family's 1533-position model. The record is from RNAcentral. Lineage: Bacteria; Pseudomonadati; Bacteroidota; Bacteroidia; Bacteroidales; Prevotellaceae.
UGAGGGAAUAUUGGGUCAAUGGGCGAGAGCCUGAACCAGCCAAGUAGCGUGCAGGAAGACGGCCCUAUGGGUUGUAAACUAGCUUUUAUGCGGGGAUAAAGUGUGGGACGUGUCCCUUAUUGCAGGUACCCUAUGAAUAAGGACCGGCUAAUUCCGUGCCAGCAGCCGCGGUAAUACGGAAGGUCCGGGCGUUAUCCGGAUUUAUUGGGUUUAAAGGGAGCGUAGGCCGUCUUAUAAGCGUGUUGUGAAAUGUCGGGGCGUCAACCUGGGCAUUGCAGCGCGAACUGUGAGACUUGAGUGCGCGGGAAGUAGGCGGAAUUCGUCGUGUAGCGGUGAAAUGCUUAGAUAUGACGAAGAACUCCGAUUGCGAAGGCAGCCUGCUGUAGCGCAACUGACGCU